This is a long non-coding RNA of Bos taurus (domestic cattle), 1246 nucleotides long. The record is from Ensembl. Lineage: Eukaryota; Metazoa; Chordata; Mammalia; Artiodactyla; Bovidae.
CUCCCAACAGCCACAGUGAUUUGUUCAGGGGCGGGUCCAUGCUGGGCCAAUGAGAGGCCUCCUUGGAUGGCAGCUACUCUUAGCUAUUACGAGAGUUUUAAGUUAUCUGGAAUUGCUAAAGUGGUAGAAUCAAAAGCUGAAGCUCUUGGUGGCCAUCUGGUCAUUCUGUGGAAUUAGCUCCCCUGAAAGUGAAGCCAAUACCAUAGGAAAUGGAGAGAGGAACGUAGAAGAUCCGCAGUCAAGCACCCGAAUCCAGCGGUGGUGGGGACACACAGAAGAAUCGGAGCAGACCUAGCCCCGGGGAGCUCACAAUCUUGGAGGGAAGGAGGCUGACUAGAAUGAGCUGCAUGGACAUACCCUUGCCAGUUGUCUUCCUAUUAGAUUUGGCCAAUGCCAGGCACCAGCAGAAGAUUGAAAGGAGGAGGAAGGAUGAAACUGAAUUUCAACAAAAUCAAGUAGCUUGCCCAAGGUCAUCACACUUAUAACUGGCAAGCGCAGAUUCAAACCCAGGUCUGAGUCUGAAUUCCAGUACACUUUACUGCUGCCUUCCUCACUAAUCUUGGGUUGUAAACAUUCAGACCUUGUCUGGGGGAAUCCAAGCACCACAAAGAUCUACUUCCUCACAGCCCCCCAAAUGCCUUGAUGAAGCCCAGGAAACCCAGACCCUCCUGAGCAGAGAGAAGGCAGCUGGUUGGCCAUCUGUCCACCAGGGCCCCGUUUCCCCUGCUGUACCCCACAGUGCAGUGGGGCCUGGAGAACCCACCUCAUUGGGCAGGGCGCUCAUCCUCAGCAUGGGGAGCCCCUCUGUGUACUGGUUUUUUGGAGGAGUGUUGAGGACACAUGUCAGACUGCCUAGGUCUUCGAAAUGCUUUCCAAAGGGUAUCCCAGCAACAGUACUGGUCCCUGGCCUCCUGUUUCACCUGGACAACAAGACUGACCUCAUCUCAUGGGCCUCCCCACUCAUCCUGCGAGUGCCCAACUGCAUGCUCUGGAAUUAUUCUUGGCUUGUAUAAACCAUUGUUGUAGUGUUAGUCACUCAGUCGUGUCUGACUCUCUGCGACCCCAUGGACUGUAGCCUGCCAGGCUCCUCUGUCCAUGAAAUUGUCCAGUCUAGCCUACUGGAGUGGGUUGCCAUUUCCUACUCCAGGGUAUCUCCCUGACCUGGGAAUUGGACCUAAGUCUUCUGUGGCUGCCCUUGUGGCUCAGACGGUAGAGUCUGCCUGCAAUGUGGGAGACCCAGGUUCUA